This 497-nucleotide ribosomal RNA is filed under the name uncultured bacterium. RNAcentral's name for it is "partial 16S ribosomal RNA". It matches the Rfam family "Bacterial small subunit ribosomal RNA", at positions 28 to 507 of the family's 1533-position model. The record is from RNAcentral.
GAUGAACGCUGGCGGCGUGCCUAAUACAUGCAAGUCGAGCGAACGGACGAGAAGCUUGCUUCUCUGAUGUUAGCGGCGGACGGGUGAGUAACACGUGGAUAACCUACCUAUAAGACUGGGAUAACUUCGGGAAACCGGAGCUAAUACCGGAGAAUAUUUUGAACCGCAUGGUGCAAAAGUGAAAGACGGUGGUGGUGUCACUUAUAGAGGGAUCCGCGCUGCAUUAGCUAGUUGGUCAGGUAACGGCUUACCAAGGCAACGAGGCAUAGCAGACCGGAGAGGGUGAUCGGCCACCUUGGAGCUGAGCCACGGUCCAGACUCCUACGGGAGGCAGCAGUCGGGAAUCUUCCGCAAUGGGCGAAAGCCUGACGGAGCAACGCCGCGUGAGUGAUGACGGUCUUCGGAUCGUAAAACUCUGUUAUUAGGGAAGAACAUAUGUGUACGUAACUGUGCACAUCUUGACGGUACCUAAUCAGAAAGCCACGGCUAACUACGUG